RNA transcript from Nannospalax galili (Upper Galilee mountains blind mole rat), 1636 nucleotides. It is a transcript of the gene named dolichyl-diphosphooligosaccharide--protein glycosyltransferase subunit 1-like, with no coding region annotated. The transcript has 3 exons. Lineage: Eukaryota; Metazoa; Chordata; Mammalia; Rodentia; Spalacidae. The record is from RefSeq and is a predicted model, not a curated record.
AUGGCGGCCAGGCCGGGCCCCGACGCGCUCGCAGCCUGGGCUGCGGCCUGGGGCGGGAGGGGCACUGUCGUUGACUUGGUGACCCCAAGCCUCCAAGGCCUGUCGUUGGCCUGGACUGGCCUAGGCCCUGCUCUACUGUGGCCUACACUCAAGCCACUGCGACUGGCCUACUACCCAUCUGGACCUCAAGGUCCCACUGCUAAAAGAGAAGAAACCGUCUACACCCAUGUGCUUCAGCCGUAUCCAACCCAGAUAACGCAGUCAGAGAAACAGUUUGUGGUGUUUGAGGGAAACCAUUAUUUCUACUCUCCCUAUCCAACAAAGAGCCAGACCAUGCAGGUAAAACUUGCCUCCUGAAACGUGGAGAGCCACAUCAAGCUAGAGAACCCCACGCACUCUGAGGAUGUCCUGGAUUAUGGGCCUUUCAAAGAUGUAACUGCCUAUAGUCAGGAUAGUUUUAAAGUACACUAGGAGAACAACAGCCCUUUCCUAACCAUUACCAGUAUGACCCGGGUCACUGAGAUUUCUCACUGGGGUAAUAUUGCUGUGGAAGAGAAUGUGGAUUUGAAGUGCACAGGCUCUGUGCCGAAGGGACCUUUCUCCCGCUAUGAUUACAGAGACAGCCAGACAGUGGAAUCUCUUCCUUCCACUCUUUUAAGACCAUCCUGCCUGCUGCUGCCCAGGAUGUGUACUACUGGGAUGAAAUUGGCAAUGUUUCCACCAGCCACCUCUUUAUUUUGGAUGACUCUGAGGAAAUGAAAAUCCGGCCUCAGUUUCCUCUCUUUGGCAGGUGGAAGCCACACUACAUCAUUGGCUACAACCUCCCAAACUAUGAAUACCUCUAUAAUUUGGGUGACCAGUAUGCACUGAAGAUGAGGUUUGUGGACCAUGUGUUUGAUGAGCAAGUGAUAGAUUCUCUGACAGGGAAGAUCAUAUUGCUGGAGGGGGCCAAGAACAUCCAGGUGGACAGUCCUUAUAUCAGUUGUGCUCCAAAUGAGCUGCACUACACUUGCCUGGACACAUUUGGCUGCCCUGUAAUUGUUGCCUAUAAGAAAAAUCUAGUUGAGCAGCACAUUCAGGACAUCAUGGUGCACUAUACUUUCAACAAGGUUCUCAUGCUGCAGGAGCCUCUGCUGGUGGUGGCUGCCUUCUAUACCCUGUUUAUUACCCCCAUCAUCUAUGUCCGUCUGGACUUCUCCAUCACCAAGAAUCCAGCUGCAGAAGCCAGGAUGAAGUUGGCCUGCGUCACAGAACAGGUCUUAAGCCUGGCUAACAAGAGAUUAGGCCUCUGCCUUCACUUUGAUGAGACCAUCAAUAGGUACAAGCAGUCCCGGGAUGUCUCCACCCUCAACAGUGGCAAGAAGAGCCUGGAGACAGAGUACAAGGCUGUGACCAGUGAGAUUGCAGUUCUGCUGUCUAAACUGAAGAUGGAGGGCUCUGACCUGUGUGACAGUCAGCGAAAUGCAGAAGCUGGACUCCCAGGUCAAGGAGUUGGUUGGCACUUAAGUCGGCAGUGGAGGCUAGGCUGGUGGCUGGCAAGCUCAAGAAGGAUACAUACAUCGAGACCGAAAAGGUCAUCUCAGGGAAGUGCCAGGAGCUGGUAACCAAGAUCAAUCACAUUCUGGAUGCUCUGUAG